UUAAGCGACUAAGCGUACACGGUGGAUGCCCUGGCAGUCAGAGGCGAUGAAGGACGUGCUAAUCUGCGAUAAGCGUCGGUGAGGUGAUAUGAACCGUUAUAACCGGCGAUUUCCGAAUGGGGAAACCCAGUGUGUUUCGACACACUAUCAUUAACUGAAUCCAUAGGUUAAUGAGGCGAACCGGGGGAACUGAAACAUCUAAGUACCCCGAGGAAAAGAAAUCAACCGAGAUUCCCCCAGUAGCGGCGAGCGAACGGGGAGGAGCCCAGAGCCUGAAUCAGUGUGUGUGUUAGUGGAAGCGUCUGGAAAGGCGCGCGAUACAGGGUGACAGCCCCGUACACAAAAAUACACAUAUUGUGAGCUCGAUGAGUAGGGCGGGACACGUGGUAUCCUGUCUGAAUAUGGGGGGACCAUCCUCCAAGGCUAAAUACUCCUGACUGACCGAUAGUGAACCAGUACCGUGAGGGAAAGGCGAAAAGAACCCCGGCGAGGGGAGUGAAAAAGAACCUGAAACCGUGUACGUACAAGCAGUGGGAGCCUCUUUAUGGGGUGACUGCGUACCUUUUGUAUAAUGGGUCAGCGACUUAUAUUCUGUAGCAAGGUUAACCGAAUAGGGGAGCCGAAGGGAAACCGAGUCUUAACUGGGCGUUAAGUUGCAGGGUAUAGACCCGAAACCCGGUGAUCUAGCCAUGGGCAGGUUGAAGGUUGGGUAACACUAACUGGAGGACCGAACCGACUAAUGUUGAAAAAUUAGCGGAUGACUUGUGGCUGGGGGUGAAAGGCCAAUCAAACCGGGAGAUAGCUGGUUCUCCCCGAAAGCUAUUUAGGUAGCGCCUCGUGAAUUCAUCUCCGGGGGUAGAGCACUGUUUCGGCAAGGGGGUCAUCCCGACUUACCAACCCGAUGCAAACUGCGAAUACCGGAGAAUGUUAUCACGGGAGACACACGGCGGGUGCUAACGUCCGUCGUGAAGAGGGAAACAACCCAGACCGCCAGCUAAGGUCCCAAAGUCAUGGUUAAGUGGGAAACGAUGUGGGAAGGCCCAGACAGCCAGGAUGUUGGCUUAGAAGCAGCCAUCAUUUAAAGAAAGCGUAAUAGCUCACUGGUCGAGUCGGCCUGCGCGGAAGAUGUAACGGGGCUAAACCAUGCACCGAAGCUGCGGCAGCGACACUAUGUGUUGUUGGGUAGGGGAGCGUUCUGUAAGCCUGUGAAGGUGGCCUGUGAGGGUUGCUGGAGGUAUCAGAAGUGCGAAUGCUGACAUAAGUAACGAUAAAGCGGGUGAAAAGCCCGCUCGCCGGAAGACCAAGGGUUCCUGUCCAACGUUAAUCGGGGCAGGGUGAGUCGACCCCUAAGGCGAGGCCGAAAGGCGUAGUCGAUGGGAAACAGGUUAAUAUUCCUGUACUUGGUGUUACUGCGAAGGGGGGACGGAGAAGGCUAUGUUGGCCGGGCGACGGUUGUCCCGGUUUAAGCGUGUAGGCUGGUUUUCCAGGCAAAUCCGGAAAACCAAGGCUGAGGCGUGAUGACGAGGCACUACGGUGCUGAAGCGACAAAUGCCCUGCUUCCAGGAAAAGCCUCUAAGCAUCAGGUAACAUCAAAUCGUACCCCAAACCGACACAGGUGGUCAGGUAGAGAAUACCAAGGCGCUUGAGAGAACUCGGGUGAAGGAACUAGGCAAAAUGGUGCCGUAACUUCGGGAGAAGGCACGCUGAUAUGUAGGUGAAGCGACUUGCUCGUGGAGCUGAAAUCAGUCGAAGAUACCAGCUGGCUGCAACUGUUUAUUAAAAACACAGCACUGUGCAAACACGAAAGUGGACGUAUACGGUGUGACGCCUGCCCGGUGCCGGAAGGUUAAUUGAUGGGGUUAGCGGUAACGCGAAGCUCUUGAUCGAAGCCCCGGUAAACGGCGGCCGUAACUAUAACGGUCCUAAGGUAGCGAAAUUCCUUGUCGGGUAAGUUCCGACCUGCACGAAUGGCGUAAUGAUGGCCAGGCUGUCUCCACCCGAGACUCAGUGAAAUUGAACUCGCUGUGAAGAUGCAGUGUACCCGCGGCAAGACGGAAAGACCCCGUGAACCUUUACUAUAGCUUGACACUGAACAUUGAGCCUUGAUGUGUAGGAUAGGUGGGAGGCUUUGAAGUGUGGACGCCAGUCUGCAUGGAGCCGACCUUGAAAUACCACCCUUUAAUGUUUGAUGUUCUAACGUUGGCCCGUAAUCCGGGUUGCGGACAGUGUCUGGUGGGUAGUUUGACUGGGGCGGUCUCCUCCUAAAGAGUAACGGAGGAGCACGAAGGUUGGCUAAUCCUGGUCGGACAUCAGGAGGUUAGUGCAAUGGCAUAAGCCAGCUUGACUGCGAGCGUGACGGCGCGAGCAGGUGCGAAAGCAGGUCAUAGUGAUCCGGUGGUUCUGAAUGGAAGGGCCAUCGCUCAACGGAUAAAAGGUACUCCGGGGAUAACAGGCUGAUACCGCCCAAGAGUUCAUAUCGACGGCGGUGUUUGGCACCUCGAUGUCGGCUCAUCACAUCCUGGGGCUGAAGUAGGUCCCAAGGGUAUGGCUGUUCGCCAUUUAAAGUGGUACGCGAGCUGGGUUUAGAACGUCGUGAGACAGUUCGGUCCCUAUCUGCCGUGGGCGCUGGAGAACUGAGGGGGGCUGCUCCUAGUACGAGAGGACCGGAGUGGACGCAUCACUGGUGUUCGGGUUGUCAUGCCAAUGGCACUGCCCGGUAGCUAAAUGCGGAAGAGAUAAGUGCUGAAAGCAUCUAAGCACGAAACUUGCCCCGAGAUGAGUUCUCCCUGACUCCUUGAGAGUCCUGAAGGAACGUUGAAGACGACGACGUUGAUAGGCCGGGUGUGUAAGCGCAGCGAUGCGUUGAGCUAACCGGUACUAAUGAACCGUGAGGCUUAACCUU
Molecule: ribosomal RNA, 2902 nt
Filed under: Escherichia coli HVH 73 (4-2393174)
Lineage: Bacteria; Pseudomonadati; Pseudomonadota; Gammaproteobacteria; Enterobacterales; Enterobacteriaceae
Also listed under: 2 other names
Description: bacterial LSU rRNA
Rfam family: Bacterial large subunit ribosomal RNA
Source: RNAcentral